GAGAGUAUAGUUCAGUGUUAGAGUGCAUGCUUAGCACGCAUGAAGUCCUGGGUUCAAUCCCCAGUACCUCCA
This 72-nucleotide transfer RNA is filed under the name Camelus ferus (Wild Bactrian camel). It matches the Rfam family "tRNA". From Rfam's summary of the family: Transfer RNA (tRNA) molecules are approximately 80 nucleotides in length. Their secondary structure includes four short double-helical elements and three loops (D, anti-codon, and T loops). The record is from Rfam by way of RNAcentral. Lineage: Eukaryota; Metazoa; Chordata; Mammalia; Artiodactyla; Camelidae.